RNAcentral lists this long non-coding RNA (565 nucleotides) under Cricetulus griseus (Chinese hamster). RNAcentral describes it as "lncRNA (ENSCGRG00015031297.1)". Lineage: Eukaryota; Metazoa; Chordata; Mammalia; Rodentia; Cricetidae. The record is from RNAcentral.
GUCAAAAGAAACAGGGCAGGUCAACCUGUAUGUUGUCUCCUCAGGAGAGCAAAGACCAUUGCUCUGCAGUCAGCCUCCACAUAAUCCCUGAGGGUGGAUCCAUCUCUUCUGCCAUAGGCGUUCAAGAUUGCUGGACUGAAAAACAACAAUAAUAAAAAAUCCACACUUGAUCCAUAAGUCAAGGACCCUGGUCCUGUUCUAUUGUCAACUAAAUGGAGCAGAAAAUAUCAAUGGAGAAGCAAUGUCCAAUCUUCAAGGAACCCUUUGUUUCAUCAAUGUGGACUUGGUCUCUAGGUUUUAAUCCACAGCCUGUCACUCAUUUCCUCGACGACCUUGGAUAUUACACAAAAAUGCAAAUUGGAAAGAUUGGAGCCUCAGCAGUUAAAGAGUGCUUCUUCCUGUUGCAGAGAACCCAAGCUUGCUUUCCAGCUCCCAUUGGGCAGUUCACAAGCAGCUGGAACUCAAGUUCCAGGAAAUUGGAUGCUCUAUCUGGCCUCUGCAGGUGCCUAUACUCACAACUGAAUACCCACACAGAUAAAUGAAAAUAAAGCAAAGCUUGAAACAA